GACGAACGCUGGCGGCGUGCCUAAUACAUGCAAGUCGAGCGAAGUUUUUCUGGUGCUUUCGCCUGCAAGACUUAGCGGCGAACGGGUGAGUAACACGUAAAGAACCUGCCUUAUAGACAUGGACAACUAUUGGAAACGAUAGCUAAUACCAGAUAACAGCAUUAACUGCAGGGGGGAGGUUUGAAAGGUGGGUUUGCUAACACUAUGAGAUUGCUUUGCUGUGCAUUGGCUAGUUGGUGGGGUAAAGGCCUUCCAAGUCGACGAUGCAUAGCCGAACUGAGAGGGUGAUCGGCGACACGGGGACUGAGCCACGGACCAUACUCCUACGGGAGGCAGCAGUAGGGAAUCUGACGCAAUAGGCGAGAGCCUGACGGAGCAACGCCGCGUGAGUGGAGAAGGAGUUCGGUUCGUAAAGCUCUGUUGUUAGGGAAGAACGAUUGUGUAGUAACUAUACACAGUAGAGACGGUACCUAACAAGAAAGCCACGGCUAACUACGUG
Molecule: ribosomal RNA, 499 nt
Filed under: uncultured bacterium
Lineage: Bacteria
Description: partial 16S ribosomal RNA
Rfam family: Bacterial small subunit ribosomal RNA
Source: RNAcentral